Molecule: ribosomal RNA, 253 nt
Filed under: uncultured bacterium
Lineage: Bacteria
Description: partial 16S ribosomal RNA
Rfam family: Bacterial small subunit ribosomal RNA
Source: RNAcentral
UACGUAGGGUGCGAGCGUUGUCCGGAAUUAUUGGGCGUAAAGAGCUUGUAGGCAGUUUGUCGCGUCUGCUGUGAAAAUCCGGGGCUCAACCCAGGACUUGCAGUGGGUACGGGCAGACUAGAGUGUGGUAGGGGAGACUGGAAUUCCUGGUGUAGCGGUGAAAUGCGCAGAUAUCAGGAGGAACACCGAUGGCGAAGGCAGGUCUCUGGGCCACUACUGACGCUGAGAAGCGAAAGCAUGGGGAGCGAACAGG